Long non-coding RNA from Chelonia mydas (Green sea turtle), 287 nucleotides. RefSeq lists it as uncharacterized. The record is from RefSeq and is a predicted model, not a curated record. The transcript has 2 exons. NCBI's taxonomy places the organism in Eukaryota, Metazoa, Chordata, Testudines, Cheloniidae.
CAAUUUCAUUUUGCUCAUCUUAAUGUUCAGUUUAUACAUUAAACACCUUUGUGAUUAUCUUUUCCUCCCCACCAAAUAUGCUGUACAAAAAAAUAUUCCCUAUGUGUAUGUUUUUUCUUCAUACCUCUAGAUGACACAUUUAGUGUUUGUUUAUUUGUAAAGUAAUUGAAAGAUAGGGCAAUAAAAAUGUCUACCGAAUGUAAUGUGUAUAGUAGCUGAUGCCAACUUCUAUUGCAGUUUUUAAUAUUGGACCUGUACUGAAGUAUUAAAAACUUGUCCUCCGUUUA